Molecule: ribosomal RNA, 447 nt
Filed under: uncultured fungus
Lineage: Eukaryota; Fungi
Description: eukaryotic LSU rRNA
Rfam family: Eukaryotic large subunit ribosomal RNA
Source: RNAcentral
GACCUCAAAUCAGGUAAAGCUACCCGCUGAAUUUAAGCAUAUUAAUAAGCGGAGGAAAAGAAACUAACCAGGAUUCCCUCAGUAACUGCGAGUGAAGCGGGAAGAGCUCAAGCUUAAAAUCUGAAAGGGUCCAUUCCUUUCCGAAUUGUAGUUUCGUGAACGGUGUUUACGGGCACUCUGCCACAGUACAAGUCCUCUGGAAGGAGGCGCCACAGAGGGUGACAGCCCCGUAGAAUGACUGUGGGUCUCAUUGAGGAGUGUCAAUACGUACCACCUAUUCACAGAGUCGGGUUGUUUGGGAGUACAACCCAAAGUGCGUGGUAAGUUCCAUGUAAAGCUAAAUACGGACUAGAGACCGAUANCGNAACAAGUACCGUGAGGGAAAGAUGCAAAGAACUUUGAAAAGAGAGUUAAAAAGUGCUUGAAUUGUNAAAGGGAGCGAUUGGA